RNAcentral lists this ribosomal RNA (482 nucleotides) under uncultured bacterium. RNAcentral's name for it is "bacterial SSU rRNA". It matches the Rfam family "Bacterial small subunit ribosomal RNA", at positions 30 to 507 of the family's 1533-position model. The record is from RNAcentral.
AUUGAACGCUGGCGGAAUGCUUUACACAUGCAAGUCGAACGGUAGAGGGGGCAACCCCUUGAGAGUGGCGAACGGGUGAGUAAUAUAUCGGAACGUGCCCAGUCGUGGGGGAUAACGUAGCGAAAGUUACGCUAAUACCGCAUACGAUCUAAGGAUGAAAGCGGGGGACUCGCAAGAGCCUCGCGCGAUUGGAGCGGCCGAUAUCAGAUUAGGUAGUUGGUGGGGUAAAGGCUCACCAAGCCAACGAUCUGUAGCUGGUCUGAGAGGACGACCAGCCACACUGGAACUGAGACACGGUCCAGACUCCUACGGGAGGCAGCAGUGGGGAAUUUUGGACAAUGGACGCAAGUCUGAUCCAGCCAUUCCGCGUGCAGGAUGAAGGCCCUCGGGUUGUAAACUGCUUUUGUACGGAACGAAAAGGUUUCCAUUAAUACUGGGAGCUCAUGACGGUACCGUAAGAAUAAGCACCGGCUAACUACGUG